GGGCCCGUCGUCUAGAGGAAGUUCGGAAAGUCAGGACUAGGACGCUGGCCUGCGGAGCCGGAGGUCCGGGGUUCGAAUCCCCGCGGGCCCGCCA
This 94-nucleotide transfer RNA is filed under the name Candidatus Bathyarchaeota archaeon. RNAcentral describes it as "tRNA-Arg". It matches the Rfam family "tRNA". Rfam says of the family: Transfer RNA (tRNA) molecules are approximately 80 nucleotides in length. Lineage: Archaea; Thermoproteati; Candidatus Bathyarchaeota. The record is from RNAcentral. RNAcentral also lists the same sequence under 1 other name.